GGCUGUAGCUCAGUGGUAGAGCACUUGCCUUACACACAUGAGGCCUGGGUUCAAUCCUCAGCACCA
This 66-nucleotide transfer RNA is filed under the name Marmota monax (woodchuck). Its description in RNAcentral is "tRNA.Val". It matches the Rfam family "tRNA", at positions 6 to 65 of the family's 71-position model. From Rfam's summary of the family: Transfer RNA (tRNA) molecules are approximately 80 nucleotides in length. Their secondary structure includes four short double-helical elements and three loops (D, anti-codon, and T loops). Further hydrogen bonds mediate the characteristic L-shaped molecular structure. tRNAs have two regions of fundamental functional importance: the anti-codon, which is responsible for specific mRNA codon recognition, and the 3' end, to which the tRNAs corresponding amino acid is attached (by aminoacyl-tRNA synthetases). tRNAs cope with the degeneracy of the genetic code in two manners: having more than one tRNA (with a specific anti-codon) for a particular amino acid; and 'wobble' base-pairing, i.e. permitting non-standard base-pairing at the 3rd anti-codon position. The record is from RNAcentral. Lineage: Eukaryota; Metazoa; Chordata; Mammalia; Rodentia; Sciuridae.